RNAcentral lists this ribosomal RNA (322 nucleotides) under Holothuroidea sp. H._cinerascens_6_NEC1. RNAcentral's name for it is "partial large subunit ribosomal RNA". It matches the Rfam family "Bacterial large subunit ribosomal RNA", at positions 1968 to 2501 of the family's 2925-position model. The record is from RNAcentral. Lineage: Eukaryota; Metazoa; Echinodermata; Holothuroidea.
GGGGUCUUUUAAAUGGAGACUCGUAUGAACGGCGUAACCUUCUUCAACUGUCUCCCCUCCCACCCCUCUAAAUUCUUUUCUGAGUGAAGAAACCCAGAUAAGCCAGAAAGACGAGAAGACCCUGUCGAGCUUUACCCAUUAGGUGAACUUAAACCCCUUUUAGACAUCACCCAAAGGUUUUGGUUGGGGCAACCAUGGAGAAAAUAAACCCUCCAGAGCAAAUAGAAGAAAAUAAUUCACUAUUACUCCUAACUGAGAACCAGGAACUGGGAUCCAGAAAAAGUUACCGCAGGGAUAACAGCGUAAUCCCCUCUAAGAGUCC